This 857-nucleotide ribosomal RNA is filed under the name marine metagenome. RNAcentral's name for it is "bacterial SSU rRNA". It matches the Rfam family "Bacterial small subunit ribosomal RNA", at positions 8 to 914 of the family's 1533-position model. The record is from RNAcentral.
AGAGUUUGAUCCUGGCUCAGAACGAACGCUGGCGGCAGGCCUAAAACAUGCAAGUCGAACGAACCUUCGGGUUAGUGGCGCACGGGUGCGUAACACGUGGGAAUAUGCCCUUCAGUACGGAAUAACUCACCGAAAGGUGUGCUAAUACCGUAUAAUGACUCCGGUCCAAAGAUUUAUCGCUGAAGGAUUAGCCCGCGUCUGAUUAGGUAGUUGGUGAGGUAAGAGCUCACCAAGCCGACGAUCAGUAGCUGGUUUGAGAGGAUGAUCAGCCACACUGGGACUGAGACACGGCCCAGACUCCUACGGGAGGCAGCAGUUAGGAAUAUUGCGCAAUGGAGGAAACUCUGACGCAGCCAUGCCGCGUGAGUGACGACGGCCUUAGGGUUGUAAAGCUCUUUCAGGUGUGAAGAUAAUGACGGUAACACCAGAAGAAGCCCCGGCUAAAUUCGUGCCAGCAGCCGCGGUAAUACGAAUGGGGCAAGCGUUGUUCGGAAUCACUGGGCGUAAAGCGUAUGUAGGCGGCUUUUCAAGUCAGAAGUGAAAGCCUGGGGCUCAACCCCAGAAUUGCUUUUGAAACUGGAUCGCUAGAGUCCCGGAGAGGUUGGCGGAAUUCCGAGUGUAGAGGUGAAAUUCGCAGAUAUUCGGAGGAACACCAGUGGCGUAGGCGGCCAACUGGACGGGUACUGACGCUGAGAUACGAAAGCAUGGGGAGCAAACAGGAUUAGAUACCCUGGUAGUCCAUGCCGUAAACGAUGUAUGCUAGUUGUCGGGAUCUUAAGAUUUCGGUGACGGAGUUAACGCAUUAAGCAUACCGCCUGGGGAGUACGGCCGCAAGGUUAAAACUCAAAGGAAUUGAC